GCACUAAUGCACCGGAUCCCAUCAGAACUCCGCAGUUAAGCGUGCUUGGGCGAGAGUCGUACUUGGAUGGGUGACCUCUUAUAUAGUUUAUAUCAAAAUCGGUU
RNAcentral lists this ribosomal RNA (104 nucleotides) under Gossypium arboreum. The record is from RNAcentral. Lineage: Eukaryota; Viridiplantae; Streptophyta; Magnoliopsida; Malvales; Malvaceae.